Molecule: ribosomal RNA, 433 nt
Filed under: uncultured bacterium
Lineage: Bacteria
Description: partial 16S ribosomal RNA
Rfam family: Bacterial small subunit ribosomal RNA
Source: RNAcentral
GACGAACGCUGGCGGCAUGCCUAACACAUGCAAGUCGAACGGGACCUUCGGGUCUAGUGGCGCACGUGUGCGUAACGCGUGGGAACCUGCCCUUAGGUUCGGAAUAACUCCCCGAAAGGGGUGCUAAUACCGGAUAAGGUCUUCGGACCAAAGAUUUAUCGCCUUUGGAUGGGCCCGCGUUGGAUUAGCUAGUUGGUAGGGUAAAAGCCUACCAAGGCGACGAUCCAUAGCUGGUCUGAGAGGAUGAUCAGCCACACUGGGACUGAGACCCGGCCCAGACUCCUACGGGAAGCAGCAGUGGGGAAUAUUGGACAAUGGGCGAAAGCCUGAUCCAGCAAUGCCGCGUGAGUGAUGAAGGCCUUAGGGUUGUAAAGCUCUUUUACCCGGGAUGAUAAUGACAGUACCGGGAGAAUAAGCUCCGGCUAACUCCGUG